AUGAUGAUGAUCUCCUCGGCGAGAUCAUCAUCCGCGUCACCUUUCCCACCAGCCUCGUUCGCGUUGCCCUUGUUUGCAAGCGCUGGCUCAGCCUCGCCUCCGCGCCCGCCUUCCUCCGCCGCUUCCGCAAGCUCCACCCGCCCAGCCUCCUCGGCGUCUACGUCUUCAGCAUGCAUAACAAUGGACCGCGGUUCGUGCCGAUGUCUCAGCCCCCUGAGCUCCAGGCCGUCCUCCAUAGCGGCAGCUUCAAUUUAG
This 255-nucleotide ribosomal RNA is filed under the name Triticum aestivum (bread wheat). RNAcentral describes it as "partial small subunit ribosomal RNA". Lineage: Eukaryota; Viridiplantae; Streptophyta; Magnoliopsida; Poales; Poaceae. The record is from RNAcentral.